GUGUCAGCCGCCGCGGUAAUACGAAGGGGGCUAGCGUUGUUCGGAAUUACUGGGCGUAAAGCGCACGUAGGCGGAUUGUUAAGUUAGGGGUGAAAUCCCAGGGCUCAACCCUGGAACUGCCUUUAAUACUGGCAAUCUCGAGUCCGAGAGAGGUGAGUGGAAUUCCGAGUGUAGAGGUGAAAUUCGUAGAUAUUCGGAGGAACACCAGUGGCGAAGGCGGCUCACUGGCUCGGUACUGACGCUGAGGUGCGAAAGCGUGGGGAGCAAACAGGAUUAGAAACCCCCGUAGUCC
This 292-nucleotide ribosomal RNA is filed under the name uncultured Mesorhizobium sp. RNAcentral describes it as "partial 16S ribosomal RNA". It matches the Rfam family "Bacterial small subunit ribosomal RNA", at positions 505 to 796 of the family's 1533-position model. The record is from RNAcentral. Lineage: Bacteria; Pseudomonadati; Pseudomonadota; Alphaproteobacteria; Hyphomicrobiales; Phyllobacteriaceae.